UACGUAGGUGGCAAGCGUUGUCCGGAUUUAUUGGGUUUAAAGGGUGCGUAGGCGGUUUUGUAAGUCAGUGGUGAAAUAUGUCAGCUUAACUGAGAGGGUGCCAUUGAUACUGCAGAACUUGAGUACAGAUGAGGUAGGCGGAAUUGACGGUGUAGCGGUGAAAUGCUUAGAUAUCGUCAAGAACACCUAUAGCGAAGGCAGCUUACUAGGCUGUAACUGACGCUGAGGCGCGAAAGCGUGGGGAGCAAACAGG
RNAcentral lists this ribosomal RNA (253 nucleotides) under uncultured bacterium. RNAcentral describes it as "partial 16S ribosomal RNA". It matches the Rfam family "Bacterial small subunit ribosomal RNA", at positions 524 to 776 of the family's 1533-position model. The record is from RNAcentral.